This 368-nucleotide ribosomal RNA is filed under the name uncultured myxomycete. RNAcentral describes it as "bacterial SSU rRNA". It matches the Rfam family "Eukaryotic small subunit ribosomal RNA", at positions 76 to 407 of the family's 1831-position model. Lineage: Eukaryota; Evosea; Eumycetozoa. The record is from RNAcentral.
UCUCUCUGAAUCUGCGAACGGCUCCGCAAACCAGUUGUAAACUAGAGCAAGCAAGUCUGGCGGGCUUCGGCCUCCAGACGAUAUGGAUAACCCUGGUAAUUCUGAGGCUAAUACAUGACCGCAAAGCCGGGCAGCCCAGCAAUGGAUGCUCGGGGAUGUGCGAUAUGGCUUGACAAUAACCGGGAAAGGACGCACACUCAGACCGCGCUAAAAAGGAUCGGGACUCUCUUCGGAGAGCCUGGCCCCAGCGGCUCUUGCUGUGUGCUUCUGACCUAUCAACUAGACGGCAGCGUAAUGGACAUGCUAUGGUUACAACGGGUACGGAGGAUUAGGGUUCGACCCUGGAGAGUGGGCCUGAGAGAUUGAGC